RNAcentral lists this ribosomal RNA (305 nucleotides) under uncultured bacterium. RNAcentral's name for it is "bacterial SSU rRNA". It matches the Rfam family "Bacterial small subunit ribosomal RNA", at positions 29 to 334 of the family's 1533-position model. The record is from RNAcentral.
AACGAACGCUGGCGGCAGGCUUAACACAUGCAAGUCGAACGAGAAAGCUCUUCGGAGCGAGUAGAGUGGCGCACGGGUGAGUAACACGUAGGUAACCUACCUCAAAGGCGGGGGAUAACAUGAAGAAAUUCAUGCUAAUACCGCAUAAGCACUACGGUGUAAAGAUGGCCUCUCCUUGGAAGCUAUCACUUUGAGAUGGGCCUGCGGGACAUUAGCUAGUUGGUGGGGUAAGAGCCUACCAAGGCGACGAUGUCUAGCCGGUCUGAGAGGAUGAUCGGCCACACUGGAACUGAGACACGGUCCAG